AGCUCUCCGAGUGGUGUGGAUGUUUAUUGGGCCUAAAGCAUCCGUAGCUGGCUAAGUUAGUCCCUUGUUAAAUCCACCGAAUUAAUCGUUGGAUCGCGGGGGAUACUGCUUGGCUAGGGGACGAGAGAGGCAGACGGUAUUUUCGGGGUAGGGGUGAAAUCCUAUAAUCCCGGGAAGACCACCAGUGGCGAAGGCUGUCUGCUAGAACGCGCCCGACGGUGAGGGAUGAAAGCUGGGGGAGCGAACC
Molecule: ribosomal RNA, 247 nt
Filed under: uncultured crenarchaeote
Lineage: Archaea; Thermoproteati; Thermoproteota
Description: partial 16S ribosomal RNA
Rfam family: Archaeal small subunit ribosomal RNA
Source: RNAcentral